CUACGGGCCGCAGCAGUGAGGAAUAUUGCGCAAUGGACGAAAGUCUGACGCAGCAACGCCGCGUUGGGGAUGAAGCACUAUGGUGUGUAAACCCCUGUAGGUUGGGAAGAACAGUGUGUAUUCGCAAGGGUGCAUAUUUGACGGUACCAUCAAAGUAAGCUCCGGCUAACUCCGUGCCAGCAGCCGCGGUAAUACGGGGGGAGCGAGCGUUGUCCGGAAUCACUGGGCGUAAAGGGCGUGUAGGCGGGCUGGUCAGUCAGAUGUGAAAGCCCACGGCUUAACCGUGGAAUUGCAUUUGAUACUGCCGGUCUUGAGUGCGGGAGAGGGUGGUGGAAUUCCCAGUGUAGCGGUGAAAUGCGUAGAUAUUGGGAAGAACACCAGUAGCGAAGGCGGCUACCUGGCUCGCAACUGACGCUAAUGCGCGAAAGCGUGGGGAUCAAACAGGAUUAGAUACCCUUGUAGUC
Molecule: ribosomal RNA, 464 nt
Filed under: uncultured bacterium
Lineage: Bacteria
Description: partial 16S ribosomal RNA
Rfam family: Bacterial small subunit ribosomal RNA
Source: RNAcentral